This 253-nucleotide ribosomal RNA is filed under the name uncultured bacterium. RNAcentral describes it as "partial 16S ribosomal RNA". It matches the Rfam family "Bacterial small subunit ribosomal RNA", at positions 524 to 776 of the family's 1533-position model. The record is from RNAcentral.
UACGUAGGGUGCAAGCGUUGUCCGGAAUUAUUGGGCGUAAAGAGCUCGUAGGCGGUUCGUCGCGUCGGCUGUGAAAACCUGAGGCUCAACCUCAGGCCUGCAGUCGAUACGGGCGGACUUGAGUACUGCAGGGGAGACUGGAAUUCCUGGUGUAGCGGUGAAAUGCGCAGAUAUCAGGAGGAACACCGGUGGCGAAGGCGGGUCUCUGGGCAGUAACUGACGCUGAGGAGCGAAAGCGUGGGGGGCGAACAGG